GGGCCGUUAGCUCAGCUGGUAGAGCGCUACACUCGCAUUGUAGAGGUCAGCGGUUCGAUUCCGCUACGGUCCACCU
RNAcentral lists this transfer RNA (76 nucleotides) under Candidatus Shapirobacteria bacterium CG10_big_fil_rev_8_21_14_0_10_48_15. Its description in RNAcentral is "tRNA-Ala". It matches the Rfam family "tRNA". Rfam says of the family: Transfer RNA (tRNA) molecules are approximately 80 nucleotides in length. Their secondary structure includes four short double-helical elements and three loops (D, anti-codon, and T loops). Further hydrogen bonds mediate the characteristic L-shaped molecular structure. tRNAs have two regions of fundamental functional importance: the anti-codon, which is responsible for specific mRNA codon recognition, and the 3' end, to which the tRNAs corresponding amino acid is attached (by aminoacyl-tRNA synthetases). tRNAs cope with the degeneracy of the genetic code in two manners: having more than one tRNA (with a specific anti-codon) for a particular amino acid; and 'wobble' base-pairing, i.e. permitting non-standard base-pairing at the 3rd anti-codon position. Lineage: Bacteria; Candidatus Shapironibacteriota. The record is from RNAcentral.